This is a non-coding RNA of Pelobates cultripes (western spadefoot toad), 576 nucleotides long. Lineage: Eukaryota; Metazoa; Chordata; Amphibia; Anura; Pelobatidae. The record is from the annotation of a GenBank genome assembly.
GUGUGGGGACCAGGUACCAUCUGUAAAGGAUUUUGCGAGUCAGCUCCAAGUGAGUCGUGCAGAGGGUGAGUUGUUUGUGUGCUUUGAAGAUGUUGUUCCAUUGUUCUUUGGUGAUCUGAUAUCCAAUAUCUUUUUCCCAGGCUGUUACGUAAGAUGGGGAAUGUUGUUUGGGUUGAGGUCCUUCAGAUGUGUAUAUUGUGGAGAUUAGCUUUUUGGUCCGUUUGGUUGCCGUACAUAUUUGUUCUAUGGUUUGCCAGCUUGUAGUUGUUCUCUCGGUGGGUUUUUGUUUGAAUUGUAGGGUGUGUCAGGAUAAUAGUUGUCUGUAUGAGAAUAGUGCUGUAUUCGGUAGUUGGUAUUCUGUUUGGAGUUCCGAGAAAGGUUUCAUGUGGGAGUCCCUUGUUAGUUGUGACAGGGUUUUUAUGCCAUGUCUGUGCCAGAUUUUGUAGUUGAAGUCUGGUAUAAGAGCUUUCAUUGACUCUACUGGGAGGGCGGGGGAGUACAGGGCCGUGGUGCCCAUGCUUUUCUGGUAAUUGUCCCAUAUUGAGAUAGUGAGCCUGGUCGUGGGUAGCAUUCCGG